Molecule: ribosomal RNA, 888 nt
Filed under: uncultured bacterium
Lineage: Bacteria
Description: bacterial SSU rRNA
Rfam family: Bacterial small subunit ribosomal RNA
Source: RNAcentral
AUCAAGGCAGUGGAAACUGUUGGGCUUGAGUGUGGUAGGGGCAGAGGGAAUUCCCGGUGUAGCGGUGAAAUGCGUAGAUAUCGGGAAGAACACCAGUGGCGAAGGCGCUCUGCUGGGCCAUAACUGACGCUCAUGGACGAAAGCCAGGGGAGCGAAAGGGAUUAGAUACCCCUGUAGUCCUGGCCGUAAACGAUGAACACUAGGUGUCGGGGGAAUCGACCCCUUCGGUGUCGUAGCUAACGCGUUAAGUGUUCCGCCUGGGGAGUACGCACGCAAGUGUGAAACUCAAAGGAAUUGACGGGGGCCCGCACAAGCGGUGGAGUAUGUGGUUUAAUUCGAUGCAACGCGAAGAACCUUACCAGGGUUUGACAUCCUGCGAACCUUUAAGAAAUUAGAGGGUGCCUUCGGGAACGCAGUGACAGGUGGUGCAUGGCUGUCGUCAGCUCGUGUCGUGAGAUGUUGGGUUAAGUCCCGCAACGAGCGCAACCCACGUUUUUAGUUGCCAGCAUUUAGUUGGGCACUCUAGAAAGACCGCCGGUGAUAAACCGGAGGAAGGUGUGGAUGACGUCAAGUCAUCAUGCCCCUUACAUCCUGGGCUACACACGUACUACAAUGCUACGGACAAAGGGCAGCAAACUCGCGAGAGCUAGCAAAUCCCAUAAACCGUGGCUCAGUUCAGAUCGUAGGCUGCAACUCGCCUACGUGAAGUAGGAAUCGCUAGUAAUCGCAGGUCAGCAUACUGCGGUGAAUACGUUCCCGGGCCUUGUACACACCGCCCGUCACACCAUGGAAGUUGGCCAUGCCCGAAGUCGUUACUUUAACCCUUGUGGAGAAGGACGCCGAAGGUGGGGCUGAUGACUGGGGUGAAGUCGUAACAAGGUAACCGUA